RNAcentral lists this ribosomal RNA (497 nucleotides) under uncultured bacterium. RNAcentral describes it as "partial 16S ribosomal RNA". It matches the Rfam family "Bacterial small subunit ribosomal RNA", at positions 28 to 507 of the family's 1533-position model. The record is from RNAcentral.
GAUGAACGCUGGCGGCGUGCCUAAUACAUGCCAGUCGAGCGAACAGACGAGGAGCUUGCUCCUCUGACGUUAGCGGCGGACGGGUGAGUAACACGUGGAUAACCUACCUAUAAGACUGGGAUAACUUCGGGAAACCGGAGCUAAUACCGGAUAAUAUAUUGAACCGCAUGGUUCAAUAGUGAAAGACGGUUUUGCUGUCACUUAUAGAUGGAUCCGCGCCGCAUUAGCUAGUUGGUAAGGUAACGGCUUACCAAGGCAACGAUGCGUAGCCGACCUGAGAGGGUGAUCGGCCACACGGGAACCGAGACACGGUCCAGACUCCUACGGGAGGCAGCAGUAGGGAAUCUUCCGCAAUGGGCGAAAGCCUGACGGAGCAACGCCGCGUGAGUGAUGAAGGUCUUCGGAUCGUAAAACUCUGUUAUUAGGGAAGAACAAAUGUGUAAGUAACUAUGCACGUCUUGACGGUACCUAAUCAGAAAGCCACGGCUAACUACGUG